UACGUAGGGGGCGAGCGUUGUCCGGAUUUAUUGGGCGUAAAGAGCUCGUAGGCGGUUUGGUAAGUUGGAUGUGAAAUCUCCAGGCUCAACUUGGAGGGGUCAUUCGAUACUGCCAUGACUAGAGUUCGGUAGGGGAGUGUGGAAUUCCUGGUGUAGCGGUGAAAUGCGCAGAUAUCAGGAAGAACACCCGUGGCGAAGGCGGCUCUCUGGGACGGUACUGACGCUGAGACGCGAAAGCGUGGGGAGCGAACAGG
RNAcentral lists this ribosomal RNA (254 nucleotides) under uncultured bacterium. RNAcentral describes it as "partial 16S ribosomal RNA". It matches the Rfam family "Bacterial small subunit ribosomal RNA", at positions 524 to 776 of the family's 1533-position model. The record is from RNAcentral.